GAUGAACGCUGGCGGCGUGCCUAAUACAUGCAAGUCGAGCGAACAGACGAGGAGCUUGCUCCUCUGACGUUAGCGGCGGACGGGUGAGUAACACGUGGAUAACCUACCUAUAAGACUGGGAUAACUUCGGGAAACCGGAGCUAAUACCGGAUAAUAUAUUGAACCGCAUGGUUCAAUAGUGAAAGACGGUUUUGGUGUCGCUUGUAGAUGGAUCCGCGCCGCAUUAGCUAGUUGGUGAGGUAACGGCUUACCAAGGCGACGAUGCGUAGCCGGCCUGAGAGGGUGACCGGCAACAGUGGGACUGAGAUACGGCCCAGACUGCUACGGGAGGCAGCAGUGGGGAAUAUUGCACAAUGGGCGGAAGCAUGAUGCAGCAACGCCGCGUGCGGGAUGACGGCCUGCGGGUUGUAAACCGCUUUCGCAUGUGACGAAGCGUGAGUGACGGUAAUGGGUAAAGAAGCACCGGCUAACUACGUG
This 477-nucleotide ribosomal RNA is filed under the name uncultured bacterium. Its description in RNAcentral is "partial 16S ribosomal RNA". It matches the Rfam family "Bacterial small subunit ribosomal RNA", at positions 28 to 507 of the family's 1533-position model. The record is from RNAcentral.